GGAUGCGGCCGCGAGGAGCGCGCGGACCGCUUCGCUGCCGCCUCGGCGUCUGCGGAGCUGCACCUCCUCCUACUCCAGUUUCCAUGAGUCAGGAAUCCAGAAUUGGCUUGUGGUUUCGUGUGAGAUUACAGUGAAAAUACUGGCCAGGGCUGAGUCGUUUGAAGGUCUGACUUGGGUUGGAGGAUCCGCUCCAAGAUUUCACAUCACAGCCCUUUGAUACAGCUCCUCCCCAGUAUGAGCGACCCAGAAGAGUAAGAUGGAGGGGUCCUUUUGGGCAGGGGUCGCACCGUGUACUCCCCGUCUCCGCUGAACCCAGAGACUGCUGGGAGCUGUGUGGACAGCGGAAGCCUCCGUCCUGGGACGUGUGCAGCAUGAACCACAGCUGCAGGGGAUGCCGCUGGUCUCCUGGACAGGCUGAGCAGGUAGGUGGUGACGGGAGCUCCACUUGGUACCAACACCCAAAAGUGAAGGUGAGGUAACAAAGGCUAGAAAGGAGGCACUUAUUAAAAACAGUAAACAAAAACCAACAAAACCACCAAACAGCCUUCAGUGGGGCCUGAAGACAUGGAGGAAUGCAGCACGCUGACGGCCACGUGCACCGCCCGCCUGUGAAUGCCGCACACCGCGACCUCCAGCCACAGGGCCCCCAGGGCCCCGGUUUCUACACAGAUCACCUGUCUCAGGGAGAGUCCAGGACAGCAGGCCCCUCUGCAGCCUGUGCUCCCAGGUGUACAGGCCCAUCCCCGGCUUCUCUUGAUCCAGACGACAGGCGACUCCCCCGU
Molecule: long non-coding RNA, 782 nt
Organism: Bos taurus (domestic cattle)
Lineage: Eukaryota; Metazoa; Chordata; Mammalia; Artiodactyla; Bovidae
Source: Ensembl